UUCAAGUUUGGGGGGUUUGAUAAGUGUAUUUUUGCAUACUUAUUUACAUCACAAACAUGACUUAAAUACAAGUAAAAUGAUUGAAUUGUUACUUAAUUUUGUUGAAUUCAUGCAAUGUAGGUGAUUCUAUGGAAAUAGUGGAAUUCAGGAGAAAAGAGCCGGAAAAGGACCAAAUUGGAGCAAAAUGAAAAUUCAGGGACCAAAUUGCAAUUAUCUGAAAGUUGAUCCGAUGAACACAUCAAGCAAUUGAUCAAGCUAAGCACCAAUUGGAAGAUAUAAUGGAACAUUGGAACAACUAGAAAUAAGAGAGGAGGUCAAGGAGUGAAGGAAUGAAACUUGAGGAUCAAAAUGACUCAAUUUAGAAGUUCACUCUACUAUGCGG
RNAcentral lists this long non-coding RNA (382 nucleotides) under Olea europaea (common olive). RNAcentral describes it as "long non-coding RNA (OEUR_LNC012067)". Lineage: Eukaryota; Viridiplantae; Streptophyta; Magnoliopsida; Lamiales; Oleaceae. The record is from RNAcentral.